RNAcentral lists this ribosomal RNA (243 nucleotides) under Triticum aestivum (bread wheat). RNAcentral's name for it is "partial small subunit ribosomal RNA". Lineage: Eukaryota; Viridiplantae; Streptophyta; Magnoliopsida; Poales; Poaceae. The record is from RNAcentral.
UUGUGCACGCCAAAGAGGAAAGGGGGACUGGGGUUUAGAGACCUUCACAGUUUUAAUCUUGCUUUAUUAGCAAAACAGUGUUGGUGUCUGAUCCAGAAUCCAGAAUCUUUGUGUGCUCGAGUUCUCAGUGCUAAAUACUAUCCAGAUGGAAACAUAUUGAAUGCAGGGCCGAAGAAGGGAUCCUCCUUUACGUGGCAGAGUAUCGUUGCUGGGAUUCAAACGUUCAAACGAGGAUGUAUUUGA